GGAAAAUCCCCCUUUUAGCCUUCUCGACCCCCUUAUGCCCAAAUCUGGGCUUAAAUCCUUCAAAAUGUCAGCAAAGAGGUUCAAAACCACACAAAACCUUUCGGUUUCUAGUCACCGAUCCUCCGGGGUGGCUCUCUCGGCCGUCGUAUAGCGCUUCCAAAAAGCAAGGUGAAGGUCACAAAGAUCCGGGGAGCUUGGCUUGCGGCGCUGUUGCCCCUUAGAAACCCUAAGGUUUCUUCGUAUGCUUUGGGCCAGUUUUGGGCCAGGACUUGUAUUGGGUCUCUGUUUAGUGGGGAUUUGAGUAUAUAAUUUUGGGCUUUUAAAUUGGGUCAAUGUAAUGGACAUUUGGGCCUUUAUUUAUUUUUUAUUAUCUUUA
Gossypium raimondii (Peruvian cotton) is the source of this 376-nucleotide long non-coding RNA. RefSeq lists it as uncharacterized. NCBI's taxonomy places the organism in Eukaryota, Viridiplantae, Streptophyta, Magnoliopsida, Malvales, Malvaceae. The transcript is spliced from 3 exons. The record is from RefSeq and is a predicted model, not a curated record.